Non-coding RNA from Cinara cedri, 584 nucleotides. The record is from the annotation of a GenBank genome assembly. Lineage: Eukaryota; Metazoa; Arthropoda; Insecta; Hemiptera; Aphididae.
UUUUUUUUUAUCAAAGCAUGAAAAUUAAUAUAAAUAAGUCCUUAUCCUUGGGAGUAACAAAACCAGAAUUUGAUUAUCUUUGUUAUUUACAGAUAUAAUACAAUUGGUAUAUCUUUGUGAGACACUCAAUAUUUCUUUACUUAUCAUUUUGUUACGUUUCUUAUUCUCAAUAAUAUGUACUUAAAUUAGUAAAUAUAAUUGACAACUGAUUAACAUUGAUUUUUAAUAAUAAAUUAGAACAAAAAAAACAAAACUAUGUCUAUUCCCCAGUAACCUAGUCUAUUAUCAGUUUUAUUCCCGCUUUAUCAUUUUACUUUAACUCUCACUUAUAGCGUUUUCAAUCAGACUGCACUAGUGUACAUUUAUAUUUUCCUUAUGGAAUACUGGGGCACGUUUAAGAGCAGAUUUUUAUGUUUCACAUGCGCGCACUCUACCAGUUUCUUGCCCCAAAUGCAGUGAUAAUCGUACGAACUUGUGGGCCCUAUCUUUUAUUGAUAAAGAUGCUAAUCUCGAUGUUUAAAUAAUAAUAUAAUUUUAACUAAUAAUACUAAUAAUACUAAUAAAAAGGUGGGUUAAUCCACUUU